Molecule: ribosomal RNA, 664 nt
Filed under: uncultured bacterium
Lineage: Bacteria
Description: bacterial SSU rRNA
Rfam family: Bacterial small subunit ribosomal RNA
Source: RNAcentral
CUGCCUCAUACAGGGGGAUAACAGUUAGAAAUGACUGCUAAAACCGCAUAAGCGCACAUUGUCGAGUGACAGAGUGUGAAAAACUCCGGUGGUAUGAGAUGGACCCGCGUCUGAUUAGCUAGUUGGUGAGGUAACGGCCCACCAAGGCGACGAUCAGUAGCCGGCCUGAGAGGGCGACCGGCCACAUUGGGACUGAGACACGGCCCAAACUCCUACGGGAGGCAGCAGUGGGGAAUAUUGCACAAUGGGGGAAACCCUGAUGCAGCGACGCCGCGUGAGUGAAGAAGUAUUUCGGUAUGUAAAGCUCUAUCAGCAGGGAAGAAGAAAGACGGUACCUGACUAAGAAGCCCCGGCUAACUACGUGCCAGCAGCCGCGGUAAUACGUAGGGGGCAAGCGUUAUCCGGAUUUACUGGGUGUAAAGGGAGCGUAGACGGCUGUGCAAGUCUGAAGUGAAAGCCCAGGGCUCAACCCUGGGACUGCUUUGGAAACUGUGGAGCUAGAGUGCUGGAGAGGUAAGUGGAAUUCCUAGUGUAGCGGUGAAAUGCGUAGAUAUUAGGAGGAACACCAGUGGCGAAGGCGGCUUACUGGACAGUAACUGACGUUGAGGCUCGAAAGCGUGGGGAGCAAACAGGAUUAGAUACCCUGGUAGUCCACGCGGUAAAC